CCUACGGGAGGCAGCAGUGAGGAAUCUUGGUCAAUGGACGAGAGUCUGAACCAGCCAAGUAGCGUGAAGGAUGACUGCCCUAUGGGUUGUAAACUUCUUUUAUAAAGGAAUAAAACGAGGCACGUGUGCAUUUUUGCAUGUACUUUAUGCAUAAGGAUCGGCUAACUCCGUGCCAGCAGCCGCGGUAAUACGGAGGGUCCGAGCGUUAUCCGGAUUUAUUGGGUUUAAAGGGAGCGUAGAUGGGUUGUUAAGUCAGUUGUGAAAGUGUUCGGCUCAACCUUAAAAUUGCAAUUGAUACUGGCAGUCUUGAGUACAAUGGAGGUAGGCGGAAUUCGUGGUGUAGCGGUGAAAUGCUUAGAUAUCAGGAAGAACCCCGAUUGCGAAGGCAGCUUACUAAACUGUGACUGACAUUGAGGCUCGAAAGUGUGGGUAUCAAACAGGAUUAGAUACCCCUGUAGUC
RNAcentral lists this ribosomal RNA (460 nucleotides) under uncultured bacterium. RNAcentral describes it as "partial 16S ribosomal RNA". It matches the Rfam family "Bacterial small subunit ribosomal RNA", at positions 338 to 795 of the family's 1533-position model. The record is from RNAcentral.